UGACUCUCGGCAACGGAUAUCUCGGCUCUUGCAUCGAUGAAGAACGUAGCGAAAUGCGAUACUUGGUGUGAAUUGCAGAAUCCCGUGAACCAUCGAGUCUUUGAACGCAAGUUGCGCCCGAAGCCAUUAGGCUGAGGGCAUGCCUGCCUGGGUGUCG
This 157-nucleotide ribosomal RNA is filed under the name Crotalaria spectabilis. RNAcentral's name for it is "5.8S ribosomal RNA". It matches the Rfam family "5.8S ribosomal RNA". From Rfam's summary of the family: 5.8S ribosomal RNA (5.8S rRNA) is a component of the large subunit of the eukaryotic ribosome. It is transcribed by RNA polymerase I as part of the 45S precursor that also contains 18S and 28S rRNA. Lineage: Eukaryota; Viridiplantae; Streptophyta; Magnoliopsida; Fabales; Fabaceae. The record is from RNAcentral.